RNAcentral lists this ribosomal RNA (777 nucleotides) under uncultured Neocallimastigales. RNAcentral describes it as "partial large subunit ribosomal RNA". It matches the Rfam family "Eukaryotic large subunit ribosomal RNA", at positions 23 to 640 of the family's 3401-position model. Lineage: Eukaryota; Fungi; Neocallimastigomycota; Neocallimastigomycetes; Neocallimastigales. The record is from RNAcentral.
ACACGCAUGACACACUGCAUAUCAAUAAGCGGAGGAAAAGAAACUAACAAGGAUUCCCCUUAGUAACGGCGAGUGAAGCGGGAAGAGCUCAAAUUUGAAAUCUUCAAGGGUUCUACCUUUACGAAUUGUAGUUUAAAGAAGUGUUUUCUGUUGGAGUUUCGGUAAAAGUUCUUUGGAAUAGGACAUCAUAGGGGGUGAGAAUCCCGUAUUUGACCAUUAUUUUCCAGCUGUGUGAUACACUUUCAAAGAGUCGGAUUGUUUGGGAAUGCAGUCCAAAAUGGGUGGUAAAUUUCAUCUAAAGCUAAAUAUUGGCGGGAGACCGAUAGCGAACAAGUAUCGUGAGGGAAAGAUGAAAAGAACUUUGAAAAGAGAGUUAAACAGUACGUGAAAUUGUCAAAAGGGAAGCGUUUGACACCAGUGUUGUUUUUCCGAAAAUCAAUUAAAAAUUGAUUCAUGCCAGGUUGUAUUGACCUUAUCAGCUUGCAAUUUGGUUUUGGGUCUCUUUUUGAUGCACUUUUCGGUUAACAAGUCAACAUCAAUUUCCUUUGCUGUAAAAAGGUAAGAGGAAGGUGGCUUCAAUUUCGGUUGAAGUGUUUAUAGCCUUUUAUCUCUGCAGUCGGGGAGAUUGAGGUCUGCAGCGUAGAUCCUUCGGGGCUAGAUACAUUUAUGCUAAGUUAUAGCUUUUCAUAGACAACUUGUUGACUAUGUUUAGUCAUGUAGCUUACUCGUAAGUGCUAUUUUACCUACGCUUAGGAUGUUGAUCUACAGAGCGAGAGU